GUUCACGGCGUGGGACUUUCGAGGGGUCAGGUAAGUAAACGGGGGGCUCGAAAAUCAUUGUCGUCAUGAAGCCGGCCCCACCAAGUGGUGCUGGGCCCCAAAAUAAGCAGGAACCAUCCAAUGGGGGAAGUUAAUCAGCCACAGCUCAAGGAACUCCUAGAAACCCCGGGUGAUGAUGGUUGGCAUACCGGCACUGCAAACUGGCCAACACCAAUGAAUCUCCUGAGGGCUCCAGUCAUUGUUCUAGGUGACGAGAUACACCGUCCUCAGAGAUCCGUCACUAAAUCAUUCCGGCACAGAAGCUCCUCCUUCCAUUUUUCCUUUCCAUUAACAUUUAUCUGCAAGACAUUAAUA
This is a long non-coding RNA of Rana temporaria (common frog), 354 nucleotides long. RefSeq lists it as uncharacterized. The transcript is spliced from 2 exons. NCBI's taxonomy places the organism in Eukaryota, Metazoa, Chordata, Amphibia, Anura, Ranidae. The record is from RefSeq and is a predicted model, not a curated record.